Molecule: long non-coding RNA, 270 nt
Filed under: Brassica napus (rape)
Lineage: Eukaryota; Viridiplantae; Streptophyta; Magnoliopsida; Brassicales; Brassicaceae
Description: long non-coding RNA (BNAP_LNC011121)
Source: RNAcentral
CAACUCUAAACCCUAAACCUGAAAAAACACUUAUAAUCCUAAGGUUAACUAAUCUGGACUAAGGGUUUAGAAUUGAGGGGGUGGGGUAGGUUUUAGGAAUAUGAAAUUUAGGAUUCUAAUAAAUAUAUAAAUAAAUAAUUAAUUUUUUUAAAUUUUUUUUGUGUUAACUAAAUAUAGUUAACUCAUAUAAGUUAACAUAAAUAUAUAUAUGUUAACUAAUACCGAGCUUCAUAAACUUCAUUAUUCAUUUAAGAAUUUUCAAUCAUAUGG